Aotus nancymaae (Ma's night monkey) is the source of this 299-nucleotide unclassified non-coding RNA. It matches the Rfam family "Metazoan signal recognition particle RNA". From Rfam's summary of the family: The signal recognition particle (SRP) is a universally conserved ribonucleoprotein. It is involved in the co-translational targeting of proteins to membranes. The eukaryotic SRP consists of a 300-nucleotide 7S RNA and six proteins: SRPs 72, 68, 54, 19, 14, and 9. Lineage: Eukaryota; Metazoa; Chordata; Mammalia; Primates; Aotidae. The record is from Ensembl.
GCCGGGCAUGUUGGCACGUGCCUGUAGUCCCAGCUACUCGGGAGGCUGAGGUGGGAGAAUCGCUUGAGCCCAGGAGUUCUGGGCUGUAGUGCACUAUGCCAAUCAGGAGUCCGCACUAAGUUCAGCAUCAAUAUGGUGACCUCCCGGGAGCAGGGGACCACCAGCUUGCCUAAGGAGGGGUGAACCGGCCCAGGUUGGAAACAGAGCAGGUCAAAACUCCCAUGCUUAUCAGUAGUGGGAUCGCAUCUGUGCAUAGCCAUUGCACUCCAGCCUGGGCAAUAUAGCGAGACCUCGUGUCU